CGACGCCACUGCACAAAGGAGCUAGAUAUUUGAUAAAUUCUCAAAUGGAGAACGGGAUUUCCCACAACAGGAAAUCAUGGGAGUGUUCAACCGGAAUUGCAUGAUCAGUUACUCCGCGUAUCGCGACAUUUUCCCUAUUUGGGCAUUAGGCGAAUAUCGCACUCGAGUAUUGCAGCCGGAACGG
Molecule: long non-coding RNA, 184 nt
Organism: Hibiscus syriacus
Lineage: Eukaryota; Viridiplantae; Streptophyta; Magnoliopsida; Malvales; Malvaceae
Exons: 2
Source: RefSeq, a predicted model, not a curated record